GGAAUAUUGCACAAUGGGCGAAAGCCUGACGCAGCGACACCGUGUGUAGGAUGAAAAUCUUCGGAUUGUAAACUACUGUCAGUUGAAGAAGAAGGUAUUAGAGUUAAGAGCUCGAGUAUUGACGGUAUUCAACAAGGAAGUCUCGGCUAACUCCGUGCCAGCAGCCGCGGUAAGACGGAGGAGGCAAGCAUUGUCCGGAAUUAUUGGGCGUAAAGAACACGUAGGCGGUUUAUCAAGUCAUAUGUGAAAACCUUAGGCUUAACUUAAGGAUUGCAAAUGAUACUGGUAAGCUAGAGUACAGUAGAGGAAAGUGGAAUUCCUGGUGUAGCGGUGAAAUGCGCAGAUAUCAGGAAGAACACCAGUGGCGAAAGCGGCUUUCUGGACUGUUACUGACGCUGAGGCGUGAAAGCUAGGGGAGCGAACAG
Molecule: ribosomal RNA, 425 nt
Filed under: uncultured bacterium
Lineage: Bacteria
Description: bacterial SSU rRNA
Rfam family: Bacterial small subunit ribosomal RNA
Source: RNAcentral